RNAcentral lists this ribosomal RNA (866 nucleotides) under uncultured bacterium. Its description in RNAcentral is "bacterial SSU rRNA". It matches the Rfam family "Bacterial small subunit ribosomal RNA", at positions 627 to 1504 of the family's 1533-position model. The record is from RNAcentral.
UCAAAACUUUUCAGCUAGAGUAUGAUAGAGGAAAGCAGAAUUUCUAGUGUAGAGGUGAAAUUCGUAGAUAUUAGAAAGAAUACCAAUUGCGAAGGCAGCUUUCUGGAUCAUUACUGACACUGAGGAACGAAAGCAUGGGUAGCGAAGAGGAUUAGAUACCCUCGUAGUCCAUGCCGUAAACGAUGUGUGUUAGACGUUGGAAAUUUAUUUUCAGUGUCGCAGCGAAAGCGAUAAACACACCGCCUGGGGAGUACGACCGCAAGGUUAAAACUCAAAUGAAUUGACGGGGACCCGCACAAGUAGUGGAGCAUGUGGUUUAAUUCGAAGAUACGCGCAGAACCUUACCAACACUUGACAUGUUCGUCGCGACUCUAAGAGAUUAGAGUUUUCGGUUCGGCCGGACGAAACACAGGUGCUGCAUGGCUGUCGUCAGCUCGUGUCGUGAGAUGUUGGGUUAAGUCCCGCAACGAGCGCAACCCUCACUUUUAGUUGCCAUCAUUUAGUUGGGCACUCUGAAAGAACUGCCAGUGAUAAGCUGGAGGAAGGUGGGGAUGACGUCAAGUCCUCAUGGCCCUUACGUGUUGGGCUACACACGUGCUACAAUGGUAUCUACAACAGGAAGCAAGACGGCGACGUUAAGCAAAUCCUUAAAAGAUACCUCAGUUCGGAUUGCACUCUGCAACUCGAGUGCAUGAAGCUGGAAUUACUAGUAAUCGUGGAUCAGCGUGCCACGGUGAAUGCGUUCCCGGGUCUUGUACACACCGCCCGUCACACCAUGGGAGUUGGUUCUACCUUAAGGCAAGGUUUCAAACCCUUGACCACGGUAUAGUCAGCGACUGGGGUGAAGUCGUAACAAGGUAACCGUA